GAUGAACGCUGGCGGCGUGCCUAAUACAUGCAAGUCGAGCGAACGGACGAGAAGCUUGCUUCUCUGAUGUUAGCGGCGGACGGGUGAGUAACACGUGGAUAACCUACCUAUAAGACUGGGAUAACUUCGGGAAACCGGAGCUAAUACCGGAUAAUAUUUUGAACUGCAUGGUUCAAAGGUGAAAGACGGUCUUGCUGUCACUUAUAGAUGGAUCCGCGCUGCAUUAGCUAGUUGGUAAGGUAACGGCUUACCAAGGCAACGAUGCAUAGCCGACCUGAGAGGGUGAUCGGCCACACUGGAACUGAGACACGGUCCAGACUCCUACGGGAGGCAGCAGUAGGGAAUCUUCCGCAAUGGGCGAAAGCCUGACGGAGCAACGCCGCGUGAGUGAUGAAGGUCUUCGGAUCGUAAAACUCUGUUAUUAGGGAAGAACAUAUGUGUAAGUAACUGUGCACAUCUUGACGGUACCUAAUCAGAAAGCCACGGCUAACUACGUG
Molecule: ribosomal RNA, 497 nt
Filed under: uncultured bacterium
Lineage: Bacteria
Description: partial 16S ribosomal RNA
Rfam family: Bacterial small subunit ribosomal RNA
Source: RNAcentral